RNAcentral lists this ribosomal RNA (124 nucleotides) under Laccaria bicolor S238N-H82. Its description in RNAcentral is "5.8S ribosomal RNA". It matches the Rfam family "5.8S ribosomal RNA", at positions 31 to 154 of the family's 154-position model. From Rfam's summary of the family: 5.8S ribosomal RNA (5.8S rRNA) is a component of the large subunit of the eukaryotic ribosome. It is transcribed by RNA polymerase I as part of the 45S precursor that also contains 18S and 28S rRNA. The record is from Rfam by way of RNAcentral. Lineage: Eukaryota; Fungi; Basidiomycota; Agaricomycetes; Agaricales; Hydnangiaceae.
CAUCGAUGAAGAACGCAGCGAAAUGCGAUAAGUAAUGUGAAUUGCAGAAUUCAGUGAAUCAUCGAAUCUUUGAACGCACCUUGCGCUCCUUGGUAUUCCGAGGAGCAUGCCUGUNUGAGUGUCA